CCCUUUUAUUUUUGUAUUUAGAAAUGAAAAUGAUCACAUCAUUGCAAUUUACAUAAUUUUUUAUAUAGAAAUACUAUGUGGGGAUUGAUACCAAUAGUGGAGUAUUGGUUUGAUAACUAAGCAAGAAUUAGAGUACAAAAAUGUGGGGUAAAUUUUUAACAAGUGACCUGCCAACCAACGACAGUUGGAACUAGUAAAGAGUUAGUCUUUCACAAUGUGACAAUCAGAAAAAUAGGUAUGCUUUUUAUUUGUUGAACAUAACAGGUAUCAAAUUCAUUUCAAAAACGUAUGCAAGCUACUAAAGUUAUAAAUUUUUUUAUUGAAAAG
This 327-nucleotide long non-coding RNA is filed under the name Trifolium pratense (red clover). Its description in RNAcentral is "long non-coding RNA (TPRA_LNC004332)". The record is from RNAcentral. Lineage: Eukaryota; Viridiplantae; Streptophyta; Magnoliopsida; Fabales; Fabaceae.